GCUCUCCUUCCCAUUCUUCCUCGACGGUAGUCGCCGCUGCCAUAUGGCCACGGCGACCGACAUCUCCUUCUUCCACUAUACCUCCUGGCCUCUCUCUAUUUCUUGCUUUCGAUCGCCGCUGCCCGCAUAUCCAGUAACAGCGCCUCCUCCCGCAGCGAAGCCACGGUCGCUGCCCUCAUUCUCCCAUCUCCUCACCUUCACCUCUUUCACCGACUCGACUCGACGAAAACAAGGAGUUUGCCGCUGGAACCUCCUAUACCCCCAGCGACAAGCAAGUCGCCACCGGUGACUCGACUCGACGACAACA
This 307-nucleotide long non-coding RNA is filed under the name Salvia miltiorrhiza (redroot sage). Its description in RNAcentral is "long non-coding RNA (SMIL_LNC011069)". The record is from RNAcentral. Lineage: Eukaryota; Viridiplantae; Streptophyta; Magnoliopsida; Lamiales; Lamiaceae.